Molecule: ribosomal RNA, 1085 nt
Filed under: Vibrio sp. R614D7
Lineage: Bacteria; Pseudomonadati; Pseudomonadota; Gammaproteobacteria; Vibrionales; Vibrionaceae
Description: bacterial SSU rRNA
Rfam family: Bacterial small subunit ribosomal RNA
Source: RNAcentral
AGACGAUUGAAGAUGUCUUUCUGGUAUUAAACGUCCUUUCAGUCGUGAGGAAGGUUCAUACGGUUAAUGCGUAUGGAUUUAACAUAGUGAUCAUGAGAAGCACCGGCUAAUCCGUGCAGCAGCCGCGGUAUACGGAGGGUGCGAGCGUAAUGGGAUUACUGGGCGUAAGCGCAUGCAGGUGGUUGUUAGUCAGAUGGAAAGCCCGGGACUCAACCUCGGAAUUGCAUUUGAAACUGGCAUUCUAGAGUACUGUAGAGGGGGGUAGAAUUUCAGGUGUAGCGGUGAAAUGCGUAGAGAUCUGAAGGAAUACCGGUGGCGAAGGCGGCCCCCCUGGACAGAUACUGACACUCAGAUGCGAAAAGCGUGGGGAGCAAACAGGAUUAGAUACCCUGGUAGUCCACGCCGUAAACGAUGUCUACUUGGAGGUUGUGGCCUUGAGCCGUGGCUUUCGGAGCUAACGCGUUAAGUAGACCGCCUGGGGAGUACGGUCGCAAGAUUAAAACUCAAAUGAAUUGACGGGGGCCCGCACAAGCGGUGGAGCAUGUGGUUUAAUUCGAUGCAACGCGAAGAACCUUACCUACUCUUGACAUCCAGAGAAGCCAGUAGAGAUACAGGUGUGCCUUCGGGAGCUUUGAGACAGGUGCUGCAUGGCUGUCGUCAGCUCGUGUUGUGAAAUGUUGGGUUAAGUCCCGCAACGAGCGCAACCCUUAUCCUUGUUUGCCAGCGAGUAAUGUCGGGAACUCCAGGGAGACUGCCGGUGAUAAACCGGAGGAAGGUGGGGACGACGUCAAGUCAUCAUGGCCCUUACGAGUAGGGCUACACACGUGCUACAAUGGCGCAUACAGAGGGCAGCAAGCUAGCGAUAGUGAGCGAAUCCCAAAAAGUGCGUCGUAGUCCGGAUUGGAGUCUGCAACUCGACUCCAUGAAGUCGGAAUCGCUAGUAAUCGUGGAUCAGAAUGCCACGGUGAAUACGUUCCCGGGCCUUGUACACACCGCCCGUCACACCAUGGGAGUGGGCUGCAAAAGAAGUGGGUAGUUUAACCUUUCGGGGAGGACGCUCACCACUUUUAAGCCGGCCUUUUGGU